This 1086-nucleotide long non-coding RNA is filed under the name Salmo salar (Atlantic salmon). RNAcentral's name for it is "lncRNA (ENSSSAG00000086158.1)". The record is from RNAcentral. Lineage: Eukaryota; Metazoa; Chordata; Actinopteri; Salmoniformes; Salmonidae.
GUCGGAGCUGCCCGCCAGUCAACAGUCGUCGGAGCUGCCCGCCAGUCAACAGUCGUCGGAGCUGCCCGCCAGUCAACAGUCGUCGGAGCUGCCCGCCAGUCAACAGUCGUCGGAGCUGCCCGCCAGUCAACAGUCGUCGGAGCUGCCCGCCAGUCAACAGUCGUCAGAGCUGCCCGCCAGUCAACAGUCGCCGGAGUGGCCGGACUGCGCUGAACUGCCGGAGUGGCCGGACUGCGCUGAACUGCCGGAGUGGCCGGACUGCGCUGAACUGCCGGAGUGGCCGGACUGCGCUGAACUGCCGGAGUGGCCGGACUGCGCUGAACUGCCGGAGUGGCCGGACUGCCCUGAACUGCCGGAGUGGCCGGACUGCCCUGAACUGCCGGAGUGGCCGGACUGCCCUGAACUGCCGGAGUGGCCGGACUGCCCUGAACUGCCGGAGUGGCCGGACUGCCCUGAACUGCCGGAGUGGCCGGACUGCCCUGAACUGCCGGAGUGGCCGGACUGCCCUGAACUGCCGGCGUGGCCGGACUGCCCUGAACUGCCGGCGUGGCCGGACUGCCCUGAACUGCCGGAGUGGCCGGACUGCCCUGUUCUGCCGGAGUGGCCGGACUGCCCUGUUCUGCCGGAGUGGCCGGACUGCCCUGUUCUGCCGGAGUGGCCGGACUGCCCUGUUCUGCCGGAGUGGCCGGACUGCCCUGUUCUGCCGGAGUGGCCGGACUGCCCUGUUCUGCCGGAGUGGCCGGACUGCCCUGUUCUGCCGGAGUGGCCGGACUGCCCUGUUCUGCCAGAGUGGCCGGACUGCCCGGUUCUGCCAGAGGUGCCCGCCUGCCCUGAUCUGCCAGGGUGCCCGGCCUGUCAGGAUCAGCCCGAGUGGUCCUCCUGCCCUCCGGUCCAGCCCGAGUGGUCCUCCUGCCCUCCGGUCCAGCCCGAGUGGUCCUCCUGCCCUCCGGUCCAGCCCGAGUGGUCCUCCUGCCCUCCGGUCCAGCCCGAGUGGUCCUCCUGCCUUCCGGCCCAGCCCGAGUGGCCCGCAUGCCUUCCGGCCCAGCCCGAGUGGCCCGCAUGCCUUCCGGCCCAGCCCGAGUGGCC